This 465-nucleotide ribosomal RNA is filed under the name Vreelandella stevensii. RNAcentral describes it as "partial 16S ribosomal RNA". It matches the Rfam family "Bacterial small subunit ribosomal RNA", at positions 338 to 795 of the family's 1533-position model. Lineage: Bacteria; Pseudomonadati; Pseudomonadota; Gammaproteobacteria; Oceanospirillales; Halomonadaceae. The record is from RNAcentral.
CCUACGGGAGGCAGCAUUGGGGAAUAUUGGACAAUGGGGGGAACCCUGAUCCAGCCAUGCCGCGUGUGUGAAGAAUUCCCUCGGGUUGUAAAGCACUUUCAGUGAGGAAGAACGCCUGGUGGUUAAUACCCAUCAGGAAAGACAUCACUCACAGAAGAAGCACCGGCUAACUCCGUGCCAGCAGCCGCGGUAAUACGGAGGGUGCGAGCGUUAAUCGGAAUUACUGGGCGUAAAGCGCGCGUAGGUGGCUUGAUAAGCCGGUUGUGAAAGCCCCGGGCUCAACCUGGGAACGGCAUCCGGAACUGUCAAGCUAGAGUGCAGGAGAGGAAGGUAGAAUUCCCGGUGUAGCGGUGAAAUGCGUAGAGAUCGGGAGGAAUACCAGUGGCGAAGGCGGCCUUCUGGACUGACACUGACACUGAGGUGCGAAAGCGUGGGUAGCAAACAGGAUUAGAUACCCCAGUAGUC